GCCUGGAUAGCUCAGUUGGUUAGAGAGUGGUGUUGAUAAUGCCAAGGUUGCAGGUUUGAUCCCUGUAUGGGACA
This is a non-coding RNA of Podarcis lilfordi (Lilford's wall lizard), 74 nucleotides long. The record is from the annotation of a GenBank genome assembly. NCBI's taxonomy places the organism in Eukaryota, Metazoa, Chordata, Lepidosauria, Squamata, Lacertidae.